GGAACAUUGGUCAAUGGGCGAGAGCCUGAACCAGCCAAGUCGCGUGCAGGAUGACGGCCCUAUGGGUCGUAAACUGCUUUUAUACGGGGAUAAAGUGAGCGACGUGCCCCCUAUUGUAGGUACCGUAUGAAUAAGGACCGGCUAAUUCCGUGCCAGCAGCCGCGGUAAUACGGAAGGUCCGGGCGUUAUCCGGAUUUAUUGGGUUUAAAGGGAGCGCAGGCUGAUGAUUAAGCGUGACGUGAAAUGUAGCCGCUCAACGGCUGAACUGCGUCGCGAACUGGUUAUCUUGAGUGAGUUCGAUGUUGGCGGAAUUCGUGGUGUAGCGGUGAAAUGCUUAGAUAUCACGAAGAACUCCGAUUGCGAAGGCAGCCAACAAGGCCUUUACUGACGCUAAAGCUCGAAGGUGCGGGUAUCGAACA
RNAcentral lists this ribosomal RNA (419 nucleotides) under uncultured Prevotella sp. Its description in RNAcentral is "bacterial SSU rRNA". It matches the Rfam family "Bacterial small subunit ribosomal RNA", at positions 358 to 774 of the family's 1533-position model. The record is from RNAcentral. Lineage: Bacteria; Pseudomonadati; Bacteroidota; Bacteroidia; Bacteroidales; Prevotellaceae.